This 101-nucleotide small RNA is filed under the name Sinorhizobium meliloti 2011. Its description in RNAcentral is "putative ncRNA". Lineage: Bacteria; Pseudomonadati; Pseudomonadota; Alphaproteobacteria; Hyphomicrobiales; Rhizobiaceae. The record is from RNAcentral.
GCUGCGGGUCAGCCUGGGGCGUCCAGGCAGGCCUCUUGCCAUGCAUGACCGAGUAGGCGGGAGGGCGAUUGUCCUCCCCAAUUUCUCGGGCGGCUUUCGGC